This 95-nucleotide ribosomal RNA is filed under the name Clostridium sp. AM51-4. Its description in RNAcentral is "partial 23S ribosomal RNA". It matches the Rfam family "Bacterial large subunit ribosomal RNA", at positions 1 to 95 of the family's 2925-position model. The record is from RNAcentral. Lineage: Bacteria; Bacillati; Bacillota; Clostridia; Eubacteriales; Clostridiaceae.
UGGUCAAGCUGAUAAGAGCGCAGGUGGAUGCCUUGGCACUAAGAGCCGAUGAAAGACGUGAUAAGCUGCGAAAAGCUUCGGGGAGGAGCAAAUAU